Molecule: ribosomal RNA, 877 nt
Filed under: uncultured euryarchaeote
Lineage: Archaea; Methanobacteriati; Methanobacteriota
Description: bacterial SSU rRNA
Rfam family: Archaeal small subunit ribosomal RNA
Source: RNAcentral
AGGCUACCGCUAUUGGAGUUCGAUUAAGCCAUGCGAGUCGCGAGAAUUAGAUUCUCGGCGUACCGCUCAGUAACACGUGGGUAACCUGCCCUAUGCUGGAUAAUAACCUCGGGAAACUGAGAAUAAUGAUCUAUAGUUCACUACGCCUGGAACGGUGAGUGGAUGAAAGCUCCGGCGGCAUAGGAUGGGCCUGCGGCGUAUCAGGUUGUAGGGGGUGUAAUGUACCCUCUAGCCCUCUACGCGUACGGGUGUUGAGAGACAUCGCCCGGAGAUGGAUUCUGAGACACGAAUCCAGACCCUACGGGGUGCAGCAGGCGCGAAAACUUGGCAAUGCGAGAAAUCGUGACCAGGGAACUCCAAGUGCAUGGGGUAAGACCUAUGCUUUUCUAGACUCUAAAAAGGUCUUGGAAUAAGAGGUGGGUAAGGACGGUGCCAGCCGCCGCGGUAAUACCGGCGCCUCAAGUGGUAGUCGCUUUUAUUGGGCCUAAAACGUCCGUAGCCGGUCUGAUACAUUCGUGGGUAAAUCAACCAGCUUAACUGGUUGAAUUCUGCGAGGACGGUCAGACUUGGGACCGGGAGAGGUGUGGGGUACGCUCAGGGUAGGGGUAAAAUCCUGUCAUCCUGAGCGGACCACCUGUUGCGAAGGCGCCACACUAGAACGGAUCCGACGGUCAGGGACGAAGCCUAGGGGCACGAACCGGAUUAGAUACCCGGGUAGUCCUAGGUGUAAACGCUGUGGACUUGAUGUUGGGGGUGCUCCGAGCACUCUCAGUGUCGAAGCGAAGGCGAUAAGUCCACUGCCAGGGAAGUACGGUCGCAAGGCUGAAACUUAAAGGAAUUGGCGGGGGAGCACCGCAACCUGAGGAUUGUGCGGUUU